RNAcentral lists this long non-coding RNA (273 nucleotides) under Lathyrus oleraceus (garden pea). RNAcentral describes it as "Pisum sativum (pea) long non-coding RNA (PSAT_LNC005579)". Lineage: Eukaryota; Viridiplantae; Streptophyta; Magnoliopsida; Fabales; Fabaceae. The record is from RNAcentral.
ACCAAAGAGGCGAGUCACGAGUUCAUAUGCUAGGACUUAUGAUUUGUCCCAAGCUCGGAGUGGGGAUUGGAGCUCAGAGUGUGAUCGGUUCAAGAACCAAAUGUUGAGUCGGUAUCGUAUGCAUAUAGAGUUGAGUUGUAAGUCCAGCUAAGAGUGAGAACUGUGACGAGCAUGAGUUAAGUCGAUUUUGCAUUGCAUUACAUAAUAAUUGUGCAAAUGAGAUGUUUGUGUAUUGAUGAAUAUUCUUGUAUGACUUGUGUGGUUGGUGAUUGA